CAGAUUAUUCAACUCCCAUAUUUGUGAAAUAAAAAAUAAAAUUAUCAUAUCCUAACAACUGACCAUUCAACACAUUAUCAAUUUUAGCAUUGAAAUGUCUUUUCCCCCAUUUUCCUCAUCAGCACAAAUGUUACUGUUGAUGUUAUCAACGAUAUCCAUGACCACAUCUUUUUUGUUUGUUUCUUUUUUUUCAACAUCUGCAGUUGUUGCUUCUUUCUCACCUUGUUCUCCUUCUUUUUUAGCAUCUGCACCAGCAACUACUUCUUCUCACCUUGUUCUACGUUAUUUUUAACAUCUGCAGCAACAGCUACUUUUUUCUCAGUUUUCUUUUCUUUCUCAGUUUCUUCUUUUUCUUCACCUGCUACUUCUUUGUCAGCUUCUUCUUCGUCUUCUUCUUCAUCAACUGUUGUUGCUUCUUUUUUAGCCUUUUCUUUUUCUUUUUCUUUUUCUUCUUCUUCUUCUUCCUUCUUUUCUUUUUUUCCUUUUCUACCACAAUAGUGGCCAACUCAUCUAUUUUGCUCCAUUUUUCUCCUUUUUCAUUCCUCUCUGAUUCAUAAAGGUCCACAUGCACUAUAUUAUCAUAUUACAAAGUGUUGCUGAUAAUUAAAGCAGAGAAUGCAUUAACUACAUCAAUUAUUAAAUGAAGUUACCUUGCUCAUAUUGUUGCUCAUCCUUUUCUUAUUUUCUUCAGUCUUUUCUCUUUGAUAUAGGCAGCAAUAUCCAACACCGCUUCUUGAGCAUAGCAACACGCUU
Molecule: long non-coding RNA, 753 nt
Filed under: Capsicum annuum
Lineage: Eukaryota; Viridiplantae; Streptophyta; Magnoliopsida; Solanales; Solanaceae
Description: long non-coding RNA (CANN_LNC013896)
Source: RNAcentral